UCGUCACACUAUCAUUAACUGAAUCCAUAGGUUAAUGAGGCGAACCGGGGGAACUGAAACAUCUAAGUACCCCGAGGAAAAGAAAUCAACCGAGAUUCCCCCAGUAGCGGCGAGCGAACGGGGAGGAGCCCAGAGCCUGAAUCAGCAUGUGUGUUAGUGGAAGCGUCUGGAAAGGCGCGCGAUACAGGGUGACAGCCCCGUACACAAAAGCGCAUGUGCUGUGAGCUCGAUGAGUAGGGCGGGACACGUGGUAUCCUGUCUGAAUAUGGGGGGACCAUCCUCCAAGGCUAAAUACUCCUGACUGACCGAUAGUGAACCAGUACCGUGAGGGAAAGGCGAAAAGAACCCCGGCGAGGGGAGUGAAAAAGAACCUGAAACCGUGUACGUACAAGCAGUGGGAGCNNAUAGGGGAGCCGGAGGGAAACCGAGUCUUAAUUGGGCGUUAAGUUGCAGGGUAUAGACCCGAAACCCGGUGAUCUAGCCAUGGGCAGGUUGAAGGUUGGGUAACACUAACUGGAGGACCGAACCGACUAAUGUUGAAAAAUUAGCGGAUGACCUGUGGCUGGGGGUGAAAGGCCAAUCAAACCGGGAGAUAGCUGGUUCUCCCCGAAAGCUAUUUAGGUAGCGCCUCGUGAAUUCAUCUCCGGGGGUAGAGCACUGUUUCGGCUAGGGGGCCAUCCCGGCUUACCAACCCGAUGCAAACUGCGAAUACCGGAGAAUGUUAUCACGGGAGACACACGGCGGGUGCUAACGUCCGUCGUGAAGAGGGAAACAACCCAGACCGCCAGCUAAGGUCCCAAAGUCAUGGUUAAGUGGGAAACGAUGUGGGAAGGCCCAGACAGCCAGGAUGUUGGCUUAGAAGCAGCCAUCAUUUAAAGAAAGCGUAAUAGCUCACUGGUCGAGUCGGCCUGCGCGGAAGAUGUAACGGGGCUAAACCAUGCACCGAAGCUGCGGCAGCGANNUGCUGGAGGUAUCAGAAGUGCGAAUGCUGACAUAAGUAACGAUAAAGCGGGUGAAAAGCCCGCUCGCCGGAAGACCAAGGGUUCCUGUCCAACGUUAAUCGGGGCAGGGUGAGUCGACCCCUAAGGCGAGGCCGAAAGGCGUAGUCGAUGGGAAACGGGUUAAUAUUCCCGUACUUGGUGUUACUGCGAAGGGGGGACGGAGAAGGCUAUGUUGGCCGGGCGACGGUUGUCCCGGUUUAAGCGUGUAGGUGUGUGUUCCAGGUAAAUCCGGUUCACUUUAACACUGAGGCGUGACGACGAGGCACUACGGUGCUGAAGCAACAAAUGCCCUGCUUCCAGGAAAAGCCUCUAAGCAUCAGGUAACAUCAAAUCGUACCCCAAACCGACACAGGUGGUCAGGUAGAGAAUACCAAGGCGCUUGAGAGAACUCGGGUGAAGGAACUAGGCAAAAUGGUGCCGUAACUUCGGGAGAAGGCACGCUGACACGUAGGUGAAGUGAUUUACUCAUGGAGCUGAAGUCAGUCGAAGAUACCAGCUGGCUGCAACUGUUUAUUAAAAACACAGCACUGUGCAAACACGAAAGUGGACGUAUACGGUGUGACGCCUGCCCGGUGCCGGAAGGUUAAUUGAUGGGGUCAGCGCAAGCGAAGCUCCUGAUCGAAGCCCCGGUAAACGGCGGCCGUAACUAUAACGGUCCUAAGGUAGCGAAAUUCCUUGUCGGGUAAGUUCCGACCUGCACGAAUGGCGUAAUGAUGGCCAGGCUGUCUCCACCCGAGACUCAGUGAAAUUGAACUCGCUGUGAAGAUGCAGUGUACCCGCGGCAAGACGGAAAGACCCCGUGAACCUUUACUAUAGCUUGACACUGAACAUUGAGCCUUGAUGUGUAGGAUAGGUGGGAGGCUUUGAAGUGUGGACGCCAGUCUGCAUGGAGCCGACCUUGAAAUACCACCCUUUAAUGUUUGAUGUUCUAACGUGGACCCGUAAUCCGGGUUGCGGACAGUGUCUGGUGGGUAGUUUGACUGGGGCGGUCUCCUCCUAAAGAGUAACGGAGGAGCACGAAGGUUGGCUAAUCCUGGUCGGACAUCAGGAGGUUAGUGCAAUGGCAUAAGCCAGCUUGACUGCGAGCGUGACGGCGCGAGCAGGUGCGAAAGCAGGUCAUAGUGAUCCGGUGGUUCUGAAUGGAAGGGCCAUCGCUCAACGGAUAAAAGGUACUCCGGGGAUAACAGGCUGAUACCGCCCAAGAGUUCAUAUCGACGGCGGUGUUUGGCACCUCGAUGUCGGCUCAUCACAUCCUGGGGCUGAAGUAGGUCCCAAGGGUAUGGCUGUUCGCCAUUUAAAGUGGUACGCGAGCUGGGUUUAGAACGUCGUGAGACAGUUCGGUCCCUAUCUGCCGUGGGCGCUGGAGAACUGAGGGGGGCUGCUCCUAGUACGAGAGGACCGGAGUGGACGCAUCACUGGUGUUCGGGUUGUCAUGCCAAUGGCACUGCCCGGUAGCUAAAUGCGGAAGAGAUAAGUGCUGAAAGCAUCUAAGCACGAAACUUGCCCCGAGAUGAGUUCUCCCUGAGACUUAGAGUCUCCUGAAGGAACGUUGAAGACGACGACGUUGAUAGGCCGGGUGUGUAAGCGCAGCGAUGCGUUGAGCUAACCGGUACUAAUGAACCGUGAGGCUUAACCUUACAACGCCGAAG
RNAcentral lists this ribosomal RNA (2650 nucleotides) under Salmonella enterica subsp. enterica serovar Typhimurium. Its description in RNAcentral is "partial 23S ribosomal RNA". It matches the Rfam family "Bacterial large subunit ribosomal RNA". Lineage: Bacteria; Pseudomonadati; Pseudomonadota; Gammaproteobacteria; Enterobacterales; Enterobacteriaceae. The record is from RNAcentral.